CAAAUUUCAAGGGAUGUAC
This 19-nucleotide non-coding RNA is filed under the name Rattus norvegicus (Norway rat). The record is from RNAcentral. Lineage: Eukaryota; Metazoa; Chordata; Mammalia; Rodentia; Muridae.